Molecule: long non-coding RNA, 267 nt
Filed under: Elaeis guineensis (African oil palm)
Lineage: Eukaryota; Viridiplantae; Streptophyta; Magnoliopsida; Arecales; Arecaceae
Description: long non-coding RNA (EGUI_LNC026709)
Source: RNAcentral
CCCCCCUCCGAAUUCUGGACCUCGACCAUCACCUAAGGAGCCACCUCGGCAACAUACCAAUGAGGACAAUAGAUGACCAUGACUUGACUCUUCCAAAUUGACUCCUUUGACCCAGUUGGACUCCGCAUGAUCCAAACUAUUUUCAUUUCUCUUGUUUGUAUGCAUGUGGGCUAAUAUUUCUGCCAUCAUGCACAUGACAACCUUCCACAAUGGAAGUGUGUGAUGUGGGCGCGUGUGAUCUGGCCCCAUUAUUGAAUGCCAUAGUAA